UAAUACGAAGGGGGCAAGCGUUGUUCGGAUUUACUGGGCGUAAAGGGCGCGUAGGCGGAUUUGCAAGUCAGAGGUGAAAGCCCUGGGCUCAACCCGGGAAUGGCCUUUGAGACUGCAAGUCUUGAGUGCGAGAGAGGGUGGCGGAAUACCCAGUGUAGAGGUGAAAUUCGUAGAUAUUGGGUAGAACACCAGUGGCGAAGGCGGCCACCUGGCUCGCAACUGACGCUGAGGCGCGAAAGCGUGGGGAGCAAACAGGAUUAGAUACCCUGGUAGUCCACGCCGUAAACGAUGUGUGCUAGCCGUUGGUGACCUUUUUGGUCGUCGGUGGCGCAGCUAACGCGAUAAGCACACCGCCUGGGGAGUACGGCCGCAAGGUUA
This 378-nucleotide ribosomal RNA is filed under the name uncultured bacterium. Its description in RNAcentral is "bacterial SSU rRNA". It matches the Rfam family "Bacterial small subunit ribosomal RNA", at positions 521 to 896 of the family's 1533-position model. The record is from RNAcentral.